RNAcentral lists this non-coding RNA (22 nucleotides) under Arabidopsis thaliana (thale cress). The record is from RNAcentral. Lineage: Eukaryota; Viridiplantae; Streptophyta; Magnoliopsida; Brassicales; Brassicaceae. RNAcentral also lists the same sequence under 1 other name.
UGGUGGUGCAUGGCCGUUCUUA